This 1285-nucleotide long non-coding RNA is filed under the name Olea europaea subsp. europaea. Lineage: Eukaryota; Viridiplantae; Streptophyta; Magnoliopsida; Lamiales; Oleaceae. The record is from RNAcentral.
CAAUCCUUGAAGGUCGUCGUAAUAAUUUUCAAUAUGUUCAUUGGCUAGUCUCAUGCGAGUUACACACACCGGAGAUCAUAAACUUUAAAUGUAUUAGUCCUAUCAAAAUAAAUUGCAGCAACAGAAUCCCAUACCUAUUUGGUAGUGGGGAAGCGAAUGAAGUUUGCGAUCAAGGACGAAUCCAUAGAGUUGAUCAAGCAUCCUUUGACAAUGGCAUUCUCGGUUCACUAUCUCCAAAAAGAUGGAUCAAUUUCAGGAGGCCGGGGAGAGUAUACAUUGAUAUAUCCCAACUUGUCUUCGCUAGAGAUUGACAUCUCGACAACCUAGGACCACAAGGCAUAAUUGAAGCUCUCCAACUUAAUGCCAAUUGGAGCAGUUGAAGAAUCGGCAAGCAGUGGGUGUGGGCUCUAGUAAGAAUUUCCAUCAUCUUGUUUGUGAGGUCAUUAAGAAUGGAUUUGGCCUGGGGUUGUGAUGCUGCAUCGUCUCGGAUUAAUCCGCCAUGCAUUCCACAAGCUCUGGAGUUUUUCCUGGUCAAGGGUGGGUAGAGUUUUUCGAACCACAUUCUGAUAAAAUGUUAACAGCAAAUUUUCUAUUUUUCAUAUAUUCAUAUUCGGAAUCGAGUAGAAUGAAAUACAGAUACAAGGAGAAAACUUUGACACUUUUUCUAAGUAAUACAUUGUCUAAGGCUAGACUAGUGGUUGACCCUUGAAGUAUGGGAUUGUACAAAUAAACAGGUUCCUGUAAUUGCUCCAUUCUAACGCAAGCAAUAUCAUGCGCUAUAUGGGACAAAUAUAUCAACUUCCUAAUCAACCUUAUUUUCCAGGAAAUACAUUAGUUUCCAAAACAUUACGGUCUCUAAUGGCUCGCCAUUGCAGCCAAAUUCUAAGCUCUAUAGAUUUCUAAUUUCGGGCAGAUAAAAAAAUCAUAGACUUAGAGUCAAGAAUGAUGUAUAGCAAAUUCCCAGCGUCAGACAUUUAUUUGGAACAAAAAAAUAAUUGCAUUACGAAUUUCAGUUUGAAGUGGAGACCAUACCAGUAAAAUACAAUUUCGCGUUGCUUUUUCCUUUUCCUUUUUUUUUUUUCCCUCCUCAACUAUAAAUGAUAUAUUUACGUACCUUCUCCCUUUAAUUUUCUUCUGUUAUAUUCUUAUAUUAAUGCAAGAGGCAAAACCACAACGCAAGAGUCAAGACCCAGAGACAAGAAAAAGCUGACAAAUAAAUUCAUUAUAAUAUUCAUUGUCUUAAGCCAUAAUGUAGAUGAAAAUGGUCAUAGAAAUUCAUCAAGAA